Molecule: transfer RNA, 61 nt
Filed under: Tylos sp. clade B MM-2013
Lineage: Eukaryota; Metazoa; Arthropoda; Malacostraca; Isopoda; Tylidae
Description: tRNA-Pro
Source: RNAcentral
CAAGAGAUAGUUUAAAUAAAAUAUUAAUUUUGGAUAUUAAAGAAGUUACUUUCUCUCUUGA